RNAcentral lists this ribosomal RNA (125 nucleotides) under Agaricomycotina sp. RNAcentral's name for it is "partial small subunit ribosomal RNA". It matches the Rfam family "Eukaryotic small subunit ribosomal RNA", at positions 1657 to 1779 of the family's 1831-position model. The record is from RNAcentral. Lineage: Eukaryota; Fungi; Basidiomycota.
CCUUUGUACACACCGCCCGUCGCUACUACCGAUUGAAUGGCUUAGUGAGGUCUCCGGAUCGACUUCGAGGAGCCGGCAACGGCACCUUGUUGGUGAGAAGCUGAUCAAACUUGGUCAUUUAGAGG